GGAGGGUGCGAGCGUUAAUCGGAAUUACUGGGCGUAAAGCGCGCGUAGGCGGCCUGAUCAGUCGGAUGUGAAAGCCCUGGGCUUAACCUGGGAAUUGCACUCGAUACUGUCAGGCUAGAGUAUGGGAGAGGGAAGUGGGAUUUCCGGUGUAGCGGUGAAAUGCGUAGAUAUCGGAAGGAACACCAGUGGCGAAGGCGACUUCCUGGCCCAAUACUGACGCUCAGGUGCGAAAGCGUGGGUAGCGAACAGGAUUAGAUACCCUGGUAGUCCACGCCGUAAACGAUGAGAACUAGAUGUCGGGAGGAUUUACCUCUCGGUGUCGCAGCUAACGCGUUAAGUUCUCCGCUGGGGAGUACGCCGGCAACGGUA
Molecule: ribosomal RNA, 369 nt
Filed under: uncultured organism
Description: partial 16S ribosomal RNA
Rfam family: Bacterial small subunit ribosomal RNA
Source: RNAcentral